Molecule: ribosomal RNA, 253 nt
Filed under: uncultured bacterium
Lineage: Bacteria
Description: partial 16S ribosomal RNA
Rfam family: Bacterial small subunit ribosomal RNA
Source: RNAcentral
UACGAAGGGGGCUAGCGUUGCUCGGAAUUACUGGGCUUAAAGGGCGCGUAGGCGGCACUGCAAGUCAGUUGUGAAAUCUCCGGGCUUAACCCGGAAAGGUCAACUGAUACUGCAGGGCUAGAGUGCAGAAGGGGCAACUGGAAUUCUCGGUGUAGCGGUGAAAUGCGUAGAUAUCGAGAGGAACACCUGCGGCGAAGGCGGGUUGCUGGGCUGACACUGACGCUGAGGCGCGAAAGCCAGGGGAGCGAACGGG